UGCGUAGGUGGUUUUGCAAGUCAGAAGUGAAAGGCUACGGCUCAACCGUAGUAAGCUUUUGAAACUGCAAGACUAGAGUGCAGGAGAGGUAAGUGGAAUUCCUAGUGUAGAGGUGAAAUUCGUAGAUAUUAGGAGGAACACCAGUGGCGAAGGCGACUUACUGGACUGUUACUGACACUGAGGCACGAAAGCGUGGGGAGCAAACAGGAUUAGAUACCCUGGUAGUCC
RNAcentral lists this ribosomal RNA (228 nucleotides) under uncultured bacterium. Its description in RNAcentral is "partial 16S ribosomal RNA". It matches the Rfam family "Bacterial small subunit ribosomal RNA", at positions 568 to 796 of the family's 1533-position model. The record is from RNAcentral.